Molecule: ribosomal RNA, 388 nt
Filed under: uncultured bacterium
Lineage: Bacteria
Description: bacterial SSU rRNA
Rfam family: Bacterial small subunit ribosomal RNA
Source: RNAcentral
GACGAACGCUGGCGGCGUGCUUAACACAUGCAAGUCGAACGGUGAAGCCUUCGGGUGGAUCAGUGGCGAACGGGUGAGUAACACGUGAGCAAUCUGCCCUUGACUCUGGGAUAACUUCGGGAAACCGGAGCUAAUACCGGAUAUGACAUCUGGCCGCAUGGUCUGGGUGUGGAAAGAUUUAUCGGUCAAGGAUGAGCUCGCGGCCUAUCAGCUUGUUGGGGGGUAAUGGCCCACCAAGGCGACGACGGGUAGCCGGCCUGAGAGGGCGACCGGCCACACUGGGACUGAGACACGGCCCAGACUCCUACGGGAGGCAGCAGUGGGGAAUAUUGCGCAAUGGGCGGAAGCCUGACGCAGCGACGCCGCGUGAGGGAUGAAGGCCUCGGUC